GUCUAUAGAUACAACGUAUGCAAUACCGGAUUAUCCAUAUUAUUGUUGUUAACAUAUUUUAUGCCAAAAGUACGUUCAAUAGAAAAUAUUACAUUGAUAAUAAUUAAUAUGAUCAAAACUGGUCGGUAACAUAGUUAACAUCGACGAAAAUUGACGUAUUUUUCGUGAUUAUCAUUAUCGCAUACCAUGCAAGACGGGCAUGACGAGGCCUAUGUAGGGAUAUGGGAUACCCGCAAAAGACUUGUGUGCAU
Molecule: non-coding RNA, 251 nt
Organism: Cinara cedri
Lineage: Eukaryota; Metazoa; Arthropoda; Insecta; Hemiptera; Aphididae
Source: the annotation of a GenBank genome assembly